This 115-nucleotide ribosomal RNA is filed under the name Lepisosteus oculatus (spotted gar). Lineage: Eukaryota; Metazoa; Chordata; Actinopteri; Semionotiformes; Lepisosteidae. The record is from RNAcentral.
ACCAGCAGCCAUAUCACCCUGCAGCUCAAACCUAACAAGCCACUAAGCUAAGCAGGUGUGAGCCAGGUGAGUACCUGGAUGGGGGUCCUCUUGGGAAAAACUGAGGUUACUGGAA